AUUGAACGCUGGCGGCAGGCCUAACACAUGCAAGUCGAGCGGAGGAAGGGAGCUUGCUUCUGGAUUCAGCGGCGGACGGGUGAGUAAUUCCUAGGAAUCUGCCUUGUAGUGGGGGAUAACGUCCGGAAACGGGCGCUAAUACCGCAUACGUCCUGAGGGUGAAAGUGGGGGAUCUUCGGACCUCACGCUAUCAGAUGAGCCUAGGUCGGAUUAGCUAGUUGGUGGGGUAAAGGCCUACCAAGGCGACGAUCCGUAACUGGUCUGAGAGGAUGAUCAGUCACACUGGAACUGAGACACGGUCCAGACUCCUACGGGAGGCAGCAGUGGGGAAUAUUGGACAAUGGGCGAAAGCCUGAUCCAGCCAUGCCGCGUGUGUGAAGAAGGUCUUCGGAUUAUAAAGCCCUUUAAGUUGGGAGGAAGGGCAGUAAGUUAAUACCUUGCUGUUUUGACGUUACCAACAGAAUAAGCACCGGCUAACUUCGUG
Molecule: ribosomal RNA, 484 nt
Filed under: uncultured bacterium
Lineage: Bacteria
Description: partial 16S ribosomal RNA
Rfam family: Bacterial small subunit ribosomal RNA
Source: RNAcentral